RNAcentral lists this ribosomal RNA (394 nucleotides) under uncultured bacterium. RNAcentral's name for it is "partial 16S ribosomal RNA". It matches the Rfam family "Bacterial small subunit ribosomal RNA", at positions 523 to 918 of the family's 1533-position model. The record is from RNAcentral.
AUACGUAGGGGGCUAGCGUUAUCCGGAAUUACUGGGCGUAAAGGGUGCGUAGGUGGUUUCUUAAGUCAGAAGUGAAAGGCUACGGCUCAACCGUAGUAAGCUUUUGAAACUAAGAGACUUGAGUGCAGGAGAGGAGAGUAGAAUUCCUAGUGUAGCGGUGAAAUGCGUAGAUAUUAGGAGGAAUACCAGUUGCGAAGGCGGCUCUCUGGACUGUAACUGACACUGAGGCACGAAGGCGUGGGGAGCAAACAGGAUUAGAUACCCUGGUAGUCCACGCCGUAAACGAUGAGUACUAGCUGUCGGGGGUUACCCCCCUCGGUGGCGCAGCUAACGCAUUAAGUACUCCGCCUGGGAAGUACGCUCGCAAGAGUGAGACUCAAAGGAAUUGACGGGG